GCUGAUGGUAAUCCUUGGGGGAAUUGGGGGUUGAUGGUAAUCCUUGAGGGAAUCUGGUGUUGAUGGCAAUCCUUGAGGGAAUCUGGUGUUGAUGGCAAUCUUUGUGGCAAUUGGGGGUUUAUUGUAAUCCUUGAGGGAAUCUGGUGUUGAUGGCAAUCUUUGUGGCAAUUGGGGGUGUUGGUAAUCCUUGAGGGAAUCAGGUGCUGAUGGCAAUCUUUUCGGGAAUUGGGGGUUGAUGGUAAUCCUUGAGGGAAUC
RNAcentral lists this long non-coding RNA (256 nucleotides) under Mytilus galloprovincialis (Mediterranean mussel). Lineage: Eukaryota; Metazoa; Mollusca; Bivalvia; Mytilida; Mytilidae. The record is from RNAcentral.